CGGCGGACGGGUGAGUAACGCGUGGGUAACCUGCCUCAUACAGGGGGAUAACAGUUAGAAAUGACUGCUAAUACCGCAUAAGACCACAGCACCGCAUGGUGCGGGGGUAAAAACUCCGGUGGUAUGAGAUGGACCCGCGUCUGAUUAGCUGGUUGGUGAGGUAACGGCCCACCAAGGCAACGAUCAGUAGCCGGCCUGAGAGGGUGAACGGCCACAUUGGGACUGAGACACGGCCCAA
This 238-nucleotide ribosomal RNA is filed under the name uncultured bacterium. Its description in RNAcentral is "partial 16S ribosomal RNA". It matches the Rfam family "Bacterial small subunit ribosomal RNA", at positions 96 to 334 of the family's 1533-position model. The record is from RNAcentral.